This 501-nucleotide ribosomal RNA is filed under the name uncultured bacterium. RNAcentral describes it as "partial 16S ribosomal RNA". It matches the Rfam family "Bacterial small subunit ribosomal RNA", at positions 30 to 523 of the family's 1533-position model. The record is from RNAcentral.
AUUGAACGCUGGCGGCAGGCUUAACACAUGCAAGUCGAGCGGGGGAAGGUAGCUUGCUACCGGACCUAGCGGCGGACGGGUGAGUAAUGCUUAGGAAUCUGCCUAUUAGUGGGGGACAACAUCUCGAAAGGGAUGCUAAUACCGCAUACGUCCUACGGGAGAAAGCAGGGGAUCUUCGGACCUUGCGCUAAUAGAUGAGCCUAAGUCGGAUUAGCUAGUUGGUGGGGUAAAGGCCUACCAAGGCGACGAUCUGUAGCGGGUCUGAGAGGAUGAUCCGCCACACUGGGACUGAGACACGGCCCGAACUCCUACGGGAGGCAGCAGUGGGGAAUAUUGGACAAUGGGGGGAACCCUGAUCCAGCCAUGCCGCGUGUGUGAAGAAGGCCUUAUGGUUGUAAAGCACUUUAAGCGAGGAGGAGGCUACUUUAGUUAAUACCUAGAGAUAGUGGACGUUACUCGCAGAAUAAGCACCGGCUAACUCUGUGCCAGCCGCCGCGGUAA